UACGGGGGGGGCAAGCGUUGUUCGGAAUUACUGGGCGUAAAGGGCGCGUAGGCGGGUGUGCAAGUCUGUGGUGAAAGCCUCCAGCUUAACUGGAGAAGUGCCGUGGAUACUGCACAUCUUGAGGAGGGUAGGGGCAUCUGGAACGGUCGGUGGAGCGGUGAAAUGCGUUGAUAUCCUAAGGAACACCGGUGGCGAAAGCGGCUCACUGGGUCUUCUCUGACGCUGAGGCACGAAAGCCAGGGUAGCGAACGGG
RNAcentral lists this ribosomal RNA (253 nucleotides) under uncultured bacterium. RNAcentral's name for it is "partial 16S ribosomal RNA". It matches the Rfam family "Bacterial small subunit ribosomal RNA", at positions 524 to 776 of the family's 1533-position model. The record is from RNAcentral.